UUAGUACAUAUAUUUAUGUGUGCCUUAGGUACAAUAACGACGCGAUAUCUAAAAAAUACAAAUAUGAAUGGCAAAAGAAAGAAGACGGAAGAAGUACGUAUUUUUGUUUUGAAAAUUGUUUAGUAGAACAAAACUUCUCUAUAGUUGCGUGUUCAUUUCCGAUUUUACCUAUGCUGAUUUUUACCAGUUUUUCUCCAUUUAUUAUAAAAACCGCUAGGGAAACUAAAAAUUGACCAUUCCAAUGCACCAACUAUACUCUGGCCCACGAGAUAAGUAAACCGUGUUCUGACUGCGUCUGCAUGCAUAUAUAUACAUUGCAAUACGUAACUGAACAAAGCGGAGGAAACUGUGUUUUUGAACAGUCACUGCCGUCAGUCUAGACGCGCAAAACGAAUUAGUUCUCCCGUGGGCCGC
Cinara cedri is the source of this 414-nucleotide non-coding RNA. Lineage: Eukaryota; Metazoa; Arthropoda; Insecta; Hemiptera; Aphididae. The record is from the annotation of a GenBank genome assembly.